RNAcentral lists this ribosomal RNA (431 nucleotides) under uncultured bacterium. RNAcentral describes it as "bacterial SSU rRNA". It matches the Rfam family "Bacterial small subunit ribosomal RNA", at positions 29 to 507 of the family's 1533-position model. The record is from RNAcentral.
AACGAACGCUGGCGGCAGGCCUAACACAUGCAAGUCGAGCGCGCCCUUCGGGGUGAGCGGCGGACGGGUUAGUAACGCGUGGGAAUAUGCCCAGAUCUGCGGAAUAGCCUCUGGAAACGGAGAGUAAUACCGCAUACGCCCUUCGGGGGAAAGAUUUAUCGGAUUUGGAUUAGCCCGCGUUGGAUUAGGUAGUUGGUGGGUAAUGGCCUACCAAGCCGACGAUCCAUAGCUGGUUUGAGAGGAUGAUCAGCAACACUGGGACUGAGACACGGCCCAGACUCCUACGGGAGGCAGCAGUGGGGAAUCUUAGACAAUGGGGAAACCCUGAUCUAACCAUGCCGCGUGAGUGACGAAGGCCCUAGGGUCGUAAAGCUCUUUCAGCUGUGAAGAUAAUGACGGUAGCAGCAGAAGAAACCCCGGCUAACUCCGUG